RNAcentral lists this transfer RNA (76 nucleotides) under Clostridiales bacterium. RNAcentral describes it as "tRNA-Thr". The stretch from base 8 to 65 matches the Rfam family "tRNA", at positions 8 to 63 of the family's 71-position model. From Rfam's summary of the family: Transfer RNA (tRNA) molecules are approximately 80 nucleotides in length. Lineage: Bacteria; Bacillati; Bacillota; Clostridia; Eubacteriales. The record is from RNAcentral.
GCCUUCAUAGCUCAGUAGGUAGAGCGCAUCCAUGGUAAGGAUGAGGUCGCCGGUUCGAAUCCGGCCAUCAGCUCCA